GACGAACGCUGGCGGCGUGCUUAACACAUGCAAGUCGAACGGAAAGGCCCUGCUUUUGUGGGGUGCUCGAGUGGCGAACGGGUGAGUAACACGUGAGUAACCUGCCCUUGACUUUGGGAUAACUUCAGGAAACUGGGGCUAAUACCGGAUAGGAGCUCCUGCUGCAUGGUGGGGGUUGGAAAGUUUCGGCAGUUGGGGAUGGACUCGCGGCUUAUCAGCUUGUUGGUGGGGUAGUGGCUUACCAAGGCUUUGACGGGUAGCCGGCCUGAGAGGGUGACCGGCCACAUUGGGACUGAGAUACGGCCCAGACUCCUACUGGAGGCAGCAGUGGGGAAUAUUGCACAAUGGGCGGAAGCCUGAUGCAGCAACGCCGCGUGCGGGAUGACGGCCUUCGGGUUGUAAACCGCUUUCGCCUGUGACGAAGCGUGAGUGACGGUAAUGGGUAAAGAAGCACCGGCUAACUACGUG
Molecule: ribosomal RNA, 468 nt
Filed under: uncultured bacterium
Lineage: Bacteria
Description: partial 16S ribosomal RNA
Rfam family: Bacterial small subunit ribosomal RNA
Source: RNAcentral